This 480-nucleotide long non-coding RNA is filed under the name Pogona vitticeps (central bearded dragon). Its description in RNAcentral is "lncRNA (ENSPVIG00000022751.1)". The record is from RNAcentral. Lineage: Eukaryota; Metazoa; Chordata; Lepidosauria; Squamata; Agamidae.
CCUUAGAAAUUUAUUAACUUUAAUUAAAUUAAUUUAUUGAAUUAAUGUAUAACACAACGAGACACUAAUAAAAAUGACUGCUAGGCUGGAUUGUGCAGAUUUAGGGCCAGCUUGGUUAACAUGCUGAAAGGGAGCUCAGGAUUUCCUGAAACUCCAUGGAGCUGAGCCUCAACCUAGAGGCUAUAGUUAGCACAUAAUUAGAAGUGCUUUCAUCCUUGUCAUUGGUGUGGGAUGCCACGGAUCAUUGAAUGCAGCCCCUGUGAAGGAAGCACCACGAGGGAUUGAACUCUCAGCCUCUAGAGAUCUAAACCACUGAGCCACCCAGAAUUCAAUCCUGUAAAAGAUUAGGCUACAGCUCCCGGAUUCUGAGGAAGUGAGCCUGAUGAAAUGGGGGUUCAGAAGAGAAUCAGCCUCAUUUAAUCUGAGAUUCAGGAAGACACUGUCAAAAAGAAGUCUGUGAUAGAACUUCAAACAUAGGAC